This 476-nucleotide ribosomal RNA is filed under the name uncultured bacterium. RNAcentral's name for it is "partial 16S ribosomal RNA". It matches the Rfam family "Bacterial small subunit ribosomal RNA", at positions 29 to 523 of the family's 1533-position model. The record is from RNAcentral.
AGUGAGCGCUGGCGGCGUGCCUAACACAUGCAAGUCGAACGAUGAUUGAGAGCUUGCUCUCAUGAUUAGUGGCGCACGGGUGAGUAUACCAUAGAUAAUGUACCUCUUAGUUCGGGAUAGCCACUGGAAACGGUGAUUAAUACCGGAUACUCCUUCUUUUCUCAAGGCAAGUCGGGAAAGUUUUUUCGCUAAGAGAUCAGUCUAUGUCCUAUCAGCUAGUUGGUGAGGUAAUGGCUCACCAAGGCAAUGACGGGUAUCUGGUUUGAGAGGAUGAUCAGACACACUGGAACUGAGGCACGGUCCAGACUCCUACGGGAGGCAGCAGUGAGGAAUAUUGCACAAUGGAGGAAACUCUGAUGCAGCAACGCCGCGUGGAGGAUGACGCAUUUCGGUGUGUAAACUCCUUUUAAGAGGGAAGAUAAUGACGGUACCUCUUGAAUAAGCACCGGCUAACUCCGUGCCAGCCGCCGCGGUAA